CAGGCCUAACACAUGCAAGUCGAGGGGUAACGAUGUCUUCGGACAGGCGACGACCGGCGCACGGGUGAGUAUCGCGUUUGUAACCUACCUUUAACUGGAGAAUAGCCCGAAGAAAUUCGGAUUAAUACUCCAUAAUACUAUGAUCUGGCAUCUUUUUAUAGUUAAAGCUCCGGCGGUUAAAGAUGGACAUGCGUAACAUUAGUUUGUUGGUGAGGUAACGGCUCACCAAGACUACGAUGUUUAGGGGGUCUGAGAGGAUGGUCCCCCACACUGGUACUGAGACACGGACCAGACUCCUACGGGAGGCAGCAGUGAGGAAUAUUGGUCAAUGGGCGAAAGCCUGAACCAGCCAUGCCGCGUGAAGGAUGACAGCGCUAUGCGUUGUAAACUUCUUUUGUACAGGAAGAAACACUUCUACGUGUAGAAGCUUGACGGUACUGUACGAAUAAGCAUCGGCUAACUCCGUGCCAGCAGCCGCGGUAAUACGGAGGAUGCAAGCGUUAUCCGGAUUUAUUGGGUUUAAAGGGUACGUAGGCGGAAAAUUAAGUCAGUAGUGAAAUCCCGCAGCUUAACUGUGGAACUGUUAUUGAUACUGGUUUUCUUGAAUUUAGUUGAGGUAGGCGGAAUGUGUAAUGUAGCGGUGAAAUGCUUAGAUAUUACACAGAACACCGAUUGCGAAGGCAGCUUACUAAGCUAUGAUUGACGCUGAGGUACGAAAGCGUGGGGAGCGAACAGGGUUAGAUACCCUGGUAGUCCACGCCGUAAACGAUGAUCACUCGUUGUUGGCAAUAAACAGUCAGCGACUGAGCGAAAGCAUUAAGUGAUCCACCUGGGGAGUACGCUCGCAAGAGUGAAACUCAAAGGAAUUGACGGGGGCCCGCACAAGCGGAGGAACAUGUG
RNAcentral lists this ribosomal RNA (900 nucleotides) under uncultured bacterium. RNAcentral describes it as "bacterial SSU rRNA". It matches the Rfam family "Bacterial small subunit ribosomal RNA", at positions 43 to 943 of the family's 1533-position model. The record is from RNAcentral.